Molecule: ribosomal RNA, 768 nt
Filed under: uncultured cyanobacterium
Lineage: Bacteria; Bacillati; Cyanobacteriota
Description: bacterial SSU rRNA
Rfam family: Bacterial small subunit ribosomal RNA
Source: RNAcentral
AGAACCUUCGGGUUAGUGGCGGACGGGUGAGUAACGCGUGAGAAUCUGCCCUCAGGAGGGGGAUAACGGCUGGAAACGGCCGCUAAUACCCCAUAUGCCGAGAGGUGAAAUGAAUUUCGCCUGAGGAUGAGCUCGCGUCUGAUUAGCUAGUUGGUGUGGUAAAGGCUCACCAAGGCAUCGAUCAGUAGCUGGUCUGAGAGGAUGAUCAGCCACACUGGGACUGAGACACGGCCCACACUCCUACGGGAGGCAGCAGUGGGGAAUUUUCCGCAAUGGGCGCAAGCCUGACGGAUCAACGCCGCGUGAGGGAUGAAGGCCUCUGGGCUGUAAACCUCUUUUAUCAAGGAAGAAGAUCUGACGGUACUUGAUGAAUAAACCACGGCUAAUUCCGUGCCACCAGCCGCGGUAAUACGGGAGUGGCAAGCGUUAUCCGGAAUUAUUGGGCGUAAAGCGUCCGCAGGCGGGCCAACAAGUCUGCUGUUAAAAAGUGGAGCUUAACUCCAUCAUGGCAGUGGAAACUGUUGGCCUAAAAUGGGGUAGGGGCAGAAGGAAUUCCCGGUGUUACGGUGAAAUGCGUAAAUAUCUUGGAAAAAACCAAUGGCGAAAGCGCUCUGCUGGGCCAUCACUGAACCUCAUGGAACGAAAGCCAGGGGGAGGAAAGGGAUUAAAAAACCCUGGUGGUCCUGGCCGGAAACGAAGAAAAACUAAGGGUCGGGGGAAAUAAACCCCUUCGGGUCGUACCAACGCGUUUAAUGUUCCCCCUGGGGA